Molecule: ribosomal RNA, 301 nt
Filed under: uncultured bacterium
Lineage: Bacteria
Description: partial 16S ribosomal RNA
Rfam family: Bacterial small subunit ribosomal RNA
Source: RNAcentral
CAGCCGCCACGGGAAUACAGAGGGUGCAAGCGUUAAUCGGAAUUACUGGGCGUAAAGCGCGCGUAGGUGGUUUGUUAAGUUGGAUGUGAAAUCCCCGGGCUCAACCUGGGAACUGCAUCCAAAACUGGCAAGCUAGAGUAUGGUAGAGGGUGGUGGAAUUUCCUGUGUAGCGGUGAAAUGCGUAGAUAUAGGAAGGAACACCAGUGGCGAAGGCGACCACCUGGACUGAUACUGACACUGAGGUGCGAAAGCGUGGGGAGCAAACAGGAUUAGAUACCCGAGUAGUCCCUGUCUCUUAUAA